Lingula anatina is the source of this 308-nucleotide long non-coding RNA. The record is from RefSeq and is a predicted model, not a curated record. NCBI's taxonomy places the organism in Eukaryota, Metazoa, Brachiopoda, Lingulata, Lingulida, Lingulidae.
UAAUAAAUAUGGUCAACGUGGUCUAUCUAGCAGGAGUGGCCGUGGGGGCCAUUGUCGGUGGUUUAGCAGCAGACUACACUGGUCGCAAAUCUGUAUCUUUCAUCGCCUGUUUGGUACAUGGCGUAGGAUGAUUGGGAGCCGCUUUUUCACCUAACUACGGGGCUUAUGUUGCAUUCCGUUUCUUUGUUGGCAGCUGCCACGGUAUUCUUAUCAAUUCUGUCGUGGUUUUGUGUAUAGAAUUUGUGUCACCAAGAAGACGCAUGGUAUCCGUGUGCACAUUAGCUAUGUCCUGGGGUGUAGGAUUGGUG